Molecule: ribosomal RNA, 301 nt
Filed under: uncultured bacterium
Lineage: Bacteria
Description: partial 16S ribosomal RNA
Rfam family: Bacterial small subunit ribosomal RNA
Source: RNAcentral
CAGCAGCCACGGGAAUACGUAGGGUGCGAGCGUUAAUCGGAAUUACUGGGCGUAAAGCGGGCGCAGACGGUUACUUAAGCAGGAUGUGAAAUCCCCGGGCUCAACCUGGGAACUGCGUUCUGAACUGGGUAACUAGAGUGUGUCAGAGGGAGGUAGAAUUCCACGUGUAGCAGUGAAAUGCGUAGAGAUGUGGAGGAAUACCGAUGGCGAAGGCAGCCUCCUGGGAUAACACUGACGUUCAUGCCCGAAAGCGUGGGUAGCAAACAGGAUUAGAUACCCGGGUAGUCCCUGUCUCUUAUAC